AGUGAACGCUGGCGGUAGGCCUAACACAUGCAAGUCGAACGGCAGCACAGAGGAGCUUGCUCUCUGGGUGGCGAGUGGCGGACGGGUGAGGAAUACAUCGGAAUCUACUUUUUCGUGGGGGCUAACGUAGGGAAACUUACGCUAAUACCGCAUACGACCUACGGGUGAAAGAAGGGGAUCUUCGGACCUUGCGCGAUUGAAUGAGCCGAUGUCGGAUUAGCUAGUUGGCGGGGUAAAGGCCCACCAAGGCGACGAUCCGUAGCUGGUCUGAGAGGACGAUCAGCCACACUGGAACUGAGACACGGUCCAGACUCCUACGGGAGGCAGCAGUGGGGAAUAUUGGACAAUGGGCGCAAGCCUGAUCCAGCCAUACCGCGUGGGUGAAGAAGGCCUUCGGGUUGUAAAGCCCUUUUGUUGGGAAAGAAAUCCAGCUGGUUAAUACCCGGUUGGGAUGACGGUACCCAAAGAAUAAGCACCGGCUAACUUCGUGCCAGCAGCCGCCGUAA
RNAcentral lists this ribosomal RNA (506 nucleotides) under uncultured bacterium. RNAcentral's name for it is "partial 16S ribosomal RNA". It matches the Rfam family "Bacterial small subunit ribosomal RNA", at positions 29 to 523 of the family's 1533-position model. The record is from RNAcentral.